UGACCUUGGAUCAGUCGUGAUUACCCGCUGAACUUAAGCAUAUCACUAAGCGGAGGAAAAUAAACUACUCAGGAUUCCCCUAGUAACAGCGAGUGAAGAAGGAAUAGCCCAGCUCCGAAGCCUGCGGUAGGUUUACUUCAAGACAAUGUGGUGUUCGGGUUGACUGGCGGGAUUGCUACUCCACUUGAAGUCCAGCAUUGGGUUUGGUUCCCUGGAUUUUGCCCAGAGAGGGUGAAAGGCCCGAACGAGUGUAGGUUCAGACAUGUGAGGCAAUUUACCAGGUUGACAUUCGAGUCGAGUUGUUUGGGAAUGCAGCCCAAAGUGGGUGGUAAAAUCCAUCUAAGGCUAAUUACAAGCAAAAUUCCGAUAACGAACAAAUACCGUUCAGUUCAGUUCAGUUCAGUGUAUUUGAGAAAAAUAGGCUUACGACUUUGAAAUACCUAUUUGAUACAGAAAGUUGGAAGAAUAAUAAGCAAUGUAAAAAAUUUACAGUCAAGUGAAUGCAGGCAGAUUUAAGUGGUACACGGAUAUUGUUAAGGUAAAGUAGUCACA
This 552-nucleotide non-coding RNA is filed under the name Schistocephalus solidus. Its description in RNAcentral is "Eukaryotic large subunit ribosomal RNA". It matches the Rfam family "Eukaryotic large subunit ribosomal RNA", at positions 1 to 474 of the family's 3401-position model. Lineage: Eukaryota; Metazoa; Platyhelminthes; Cestoda; Diphyllobothriidea; Diphyllobothriidae. The record is from Rfam by way of RNAcentral.